Molecule: long non-coding RNA, 674 nt
Organism: Passer domesticus (house sparrow)
Lineage: Eukaryota; Metazoa; Chordata; Aves; Passeriformes; Passeridae
Exons: 5
Source: RefSeq, a predicted model, not a curated record
GCUGAUGAGCCAAGACAAGGCUCCUGGCUGGGGCCUUUGCAACCCACAGUGUGUGUCACGGCCUAGUCAUAAGCCAUGGGGCUAUGCUCAUCAGCCAUGGAUUCCACAGGUCCUUCUGUAAGCAGAAAGCCAUCACUGUCCUGCUUGAUGGCUUGCUGCUGCUCAGGCUCAAGAUCAGCUCUCUGCCCUACCCUCCUGGCACUAGAGCAGGCCAAGAGAAACUUGUGGCAUGUUCACCCCAGCACCUGGGUGCUGGCAAGGAACUCCGGCUUCUCCAUGUGCUUUCCUGGAGUCAACGUGGUCAUGGCUAGAAGGCAGUCAACAUGAGAUCUUAUAUGUUUCUAUGCACAGUGUUUCUAUAAAUUUAUUCAGAAAACACUUCUGGAUGAACUAAGACAAAAGAAGUAGAGUUUUUACAUAGGUGCAGCUGAGAAAAGCAAGGGCCCAGGGAGACACACACACAUGUGCACUCACAGAGGACUGUAUACCAAGUUAAGAGCUAAUAAAGAUAUCAACCACUGCUCUCUGUGAUGAGCUGUGACAUGUAACAAAAAGCACCCUGCCUACUUCUGAUAUUGUAAUUUUCUAAGAGAAGUGCUUCAGACAGUAUGGAAGCAUAGGAUGGAUGGAGGUGCCAUGGAUUAGUCAUAUGGAAGGUACUGUGAAAAGACUUA